AAUUCAGGCACGACCCUGAUUGCAUCCGAACGCUGCUUUAUUUCUUCUCUGCCGCUCGCAUUCUGAGCACUAAUUACGCCUCUUUGGAUGCUAAUUGCUUCCCAGCCCUCUGCCGCUGUCUUUCCUGAGCAACAUUUAUUUUUCAUGCGUCCGUGUGUUUAAACUAAGAAAAGCCGGGAGGGAGGUGGGAGGAGGGAAUCGCUUCGGUCCAAGGAUUCUCCGGGAUCAAACGUGCCAGGAAAGGGGUCGGAGAAAUCCCUGGAAGGGGAGGGAGGAAAGACACCGCCGCUCGAAACAUCGCGUUCCUCGUGGGACAAUCAGCACCCGGGCGCUUCCCACGGGAUCCGCCAGCUUCCAGAACUCCUGAAAACUUGGAAUUGGGGCACGGCCGGGUCGCUGAGAGGAUUUUCCCUGCGAUUUCCUCGCUCCCCGAGCAGAUGCCUGAGGACUCACGGUAUAGGACUGGAGGGAGUUUUGGAGUCUGAGAGGAGCCACGCAGGUGAUGAAAUCCACGUGGGAAAUGUUUGAAAUCCUCGUUUCCAACCCAAAACAUCAUUAGCUAAAAUCCCGUGGAGAUGGAGGAGGGAAAAAAAAAAUAAAAAAAAAUAAAAUUCUCGGUCCUUAAAAAUG
RNAcentral lists this long non-coding RNA (630 nucleotides) under Cyanistes caeruleus (blue tit). RNAcentral's name for it is "lncRNA (ENSCCEG00000018754.1)". Lineage: Eukaryota; Metazoa; Chordata; Aves; Passeriformes; Paridae. The record is from RNAcentral.